RNAcentral lists this ribosomal RNA (429 nucleotides) under Gemmatimonadota bacterium. RNAcentral's name for it is "Gemmatimonadetes bacterium partial 16S ribosomal RNA". It matches the Rfam family "Bacterial small subunit ribosomal RNA", at positions 355 to 776 of the family's 1533-position model. The record is from RNAcentral. Lineage: Bacteria; Pseudomonadati; Gemmatimonadota.
UAGGGAAUCUUCGGCAAUGGACGAAAGUCUGACCGAGCAACGCCGCGUGAGUGAAGAAGGUUUUCGGAUCGUAAAACUCUGUUGUUAGAGAAGAACAAGGACGUUAGUAACUGAACGUCCCCUGACGGUAUCUAACCAGAAAGCCACGGCUAACUACGUGCCAGCAGCCGCGGUAAUACGUAGGUGGCAAGCGUUGUCCGGAUUUAUUGGGCGUAAAGCGAGCGCAGGCGGUUUCUUAAGUCUGAUGCGAAAGCCCCCGGCUCAACCGGGGAGGGUCAUUGGAAACUGGGAGACUUGAGUGCAGAAGAGGAGAGUGGAUUUCCAUGUGUAGCGGUGAAAUGCGUAGAUAUAUGGAGGAACACCAGUGGCGAAGGCGGCUCUCUGGUCUGUAACUGACGCUGAGGCUCGAAAGCGUGGGGAGCAAACAGG